GGUUGAUUUUUGUGUCGAACAUUUUUUUUUUUUUUUUUUUUUAAAGUGAAUCUUAUAAUAUAUUUCAUUGAUUUGAUGUGUCAUUUGUUUUUACAGGGUCUUACUGAGAUCAAUCCAUACCAUAGAAGAACAAUAGGCGCCUUUAACCCGAAUUCCAACAUAUGACGAACAAUAUAAACUUUCAUUUCAUUCAUGUUUUAACACUUUUACUUAAAU
Molecule: long non-coding RNA, 216 nt
Filed under: Mytilus galloprovincialis (Mediterranean mussel)
Lineage: Eukaryota; Metazoa; Mollusca; Bivalvia; Mytilida; Mytilidae
Source: RNAcentral